GAUGAAGAACGUAGCGAAAUGCGAUACUUGGUGUGAAUUGCAGAAUCCCGUGAACCAUCGAGUCUUUGAACGCGAGUUGCGCCCGAAGCCAUUAGGCCGAGGGCACGCCUGCCUGGGCGUCACACGUCGUUGCCCCCCCAUCUACUCCUUCGGGAUUGCGGGGGGCGGAUGAUGGCCUCUCGUGCGCCUCGUCGCGCGGUUGGCCUAAAUGCCAAGUCCUCGGCGACGCACGCCACGACAAUCGGUGGUUGCGAAACCUCGGUUGCCUGUCGUGUGCGGUCGUCGCGCAUCGAGGGCUCGAAAAAAUUGCCGGGCUUCGGCUCGACUUUCAACGCGACCCCAGGUCAGGCGGGGUUACCCGCUGAAUUUAAGCAUAUCAAUAAGCGGAGGA
This 391-nucleotide unclassified non-coding RNA is filed under the name soil metagenome. RNAcentral describes it as "partial contains 5.8S ribosomal RNA, internal transcribed spacer 2, and large subunit ribosomal RNA". The stretch from base 1 to 122 matches the Rfam family "5.8S ribosomal RNA", at positions 35 to 154 of the family's 154-position model. The record is from RNAcentral.